AGAGUUUGAUCCUGGCUCAGGACGAACGCUGGCGGCGUGCCUAACACAUGCAAGUCGAGCGGGGAUUAACUUUAACACAGAGUAUUGCAGCGAGCCAAGCGUAUUAUGCAAAAACAACCUCUUUAGUAUAUAGCUUUUAAUAAGAAGUUUUUGCAUUACGCGUCCCAAAGUGCCAACACGGCACAAGGGUGGCAGGUAAGUUGGAGUAUUGCGUGUUAAAGUUAAUCCUAGCGGCGGACGGGUGAGUAACGCGUGAGCAAUCUGCCUCGUACAGGGGGAUAACAGUUGGAAACAGCUGCUAAUACCGCAUAAGACCACACUAUCGCAUGGUAGAGAGGUCAAAGGUUAAGUCCGGUAUGAGAUGAGCUCGCGUCCCAUUAGCUAGUUGGUGGAGUAAGAGCCUACCAAGGCGACGAUGGGUAGCCGACCUGAGAGGGUGAUCGGCCACACUGGAACUGAGACACGGUCCAGACUCCUACGGGAGGCAGCAGUGGGGAAUAUUGCGCAAUGGGGGAAACCCUGACGCAGCGACGCCGCGUGAGCGAUGAAGGCUUUCGGGUUGUAAAGCUCUGUUCUAAGGGACGAAUGUCUCUGUUGUGAAUAAUGGCAGAGAGUGACGGUACCUUAGGAGAAAGCCCCGGCUAACUACGUGCCAGCAGCCGCGGUAAUACGUAGGGGGCGAGCGUUGUCCGGAAUUACUGGGCGUAAAGGGCGUGUAGGCGGGUGCUUAAGUCAGGUGUGAAAGACCGGGGCUCAACUCCGGGAUUGCACUUGAAACUGGGUAUCUUGAGGGCAGGAGAGGAAAGCGGAAUUCCUGGUGUAGCGGUGAAAUGCGUAGAUAUCAGGAGGAACACCGGUGGCGAAGGCGGCUUUCUGGACUGACCCUGACGCUGAGACGCGAAAGCGUGGGGAGCAAACAGGAUUAGAUACCCUGGUAGUCCACGCUGUAAACGAUGAAUACUAGGUGUCGGGUGGCAAAGCCAUUCGGUGCCGCAGCUAACGCAAUAAGUAUUCCACCUGGGGAGUACGUUCGCAAGAAUGAAACUCAAAGGAAUUGACGGGGACCCGCACAAGCGGUGGAGCAUGUGGUUUAAUUCGACGCAACGCGAAGAACCUUACCAAGUCUUGACAUCCUUUUGACCGGUCGGUAAUGCGACCUUCUCUUCGGAGCAAAAGUGACAGGUGGUGCAUGGUUGUCGUCAGCUCGUGUCGUGAGAUGUUGGGUUAAGUCCCGCAACGAGCGCAACCCUUAUCUUUAGUAGCCAGCAUUUCGGAUGGGCACUCUAGAGAGACUGCCAGGGAUAACCUGGAGGAAGGUGGGGAUGACGUCAAAUCAUCAUGCCCCUUAUGACUUGGGCUACACACGUGCUACAAUGGCGUAAACAAAGGGACGCAAUACCGCGAGGUUGAGCAAAUCCCAAAAAUAACGUCUCAGUUCGGAUUGUAGUCUGCAACUCGACUACAUGAAGCUGGAAUCGCUAGUAAUCGCAAAUCAGAAUGUUGCGGUGAAUACGUCCCCGGGUCUUGUACACACCGCCCGUCACACCAUGGGAGUUGGGAAUGCCCGAAGCCAGUGACCUAACCGUAAGGAAGGAGCUGUCGAAGGCAGGCUCGAUGACUGGGGUGAAGUCGUAACAAGGUA
This 1642-nucleotide ribosomal RNA is filed under the name uncultured bacterium. RNAcentral describes it as "bacterial SSU rRNA". It matches the Rfam family "Bacterial small subunit ribosomal RNA". The record is from RNAcentral.